UACGAAGGGGGCUAGCGUUGCUCGGAAUCACUGGGCGUAAAGCGCACGUAGGCGGACUCUUAAGUCAGGGGUGAAAUCCUGGAGCUCAACUCCAGAACUGCCUUUGAUACUGGGAGUCUUGAGUUCGGGAGAGGUGAGUGGAACUGCGAGUGUAGAGGUGAAAUUCGUAGAUAUCUGCAGGAACACCCGUGGCGAAAGCGGCGCGCUGGACCACUACUGACGCUGAGGAACGAAAGCUAGGGGAGCAAACAGG
This 253-nucleotide ribosomal RNA is filed under the name uncultured bacterium. Its description in RNAcentral is "partial 16S ribosomal RNA". It matches the Rfam family "Bacterial small subunit ribosomal RNA", at positions 524 to 776 of the family's 1533-position model. The record is from RNAcentral.